This 497-nucleotide ribosomal RNA is filed under the name uncultured bacterium. RNAcentral's name for it is "partial 16S ribosomal RNA". It matches the Rfam family "Bacterial small subunit ribosomal RNA", at positions 28 to 507 of the family's 1533-position model. The record is from RNAcentral.
GAUGAACGCUGGCGGCGUGCCUAAUACAUGCAAGUCGAGCGAACGGACGAGAAGCUUGCUUCUCUGAUGUUAGUGGCGGACGGGUGAGUAACACGUGGAUAACUUACCUAUAAGACUGGGAUAACUUCGGGAAACCGUAGCUAAUACCGGAUAAUAUUUUGAACCGCAUGGUUCAAAAGUGAAAGACGGUCUUGCUGUCACUUAUAGAUGGAUCCGCGCUGCAUUAGCUAGUUGGUAAGGUAACGGCUUACCAAGGCAACGAUGCAUAGCCGACCUGAGAGGGUGAUCGGCCACACUGGAACUGAGACACGGUCCAGACUCCUACGGGAGGCAGCAGUAGGGAAUCUUCCGCAAUGGGCGAAAGCCUGACGGAGCAACGCCGCGUGAGUGAUGAAGGUCUUCGGAUCGUAAAACUCUGUUAUUAGGGAAGAACAUAUGUGUAAGUAACUGUGCACAUCUUGACGGUACCUAAUCAGAAAGCCACGGCUAACUACGUG